This 2505-nucleotide long non-coding RNA is filed under the name Salvia miltiorrhiza (redroot sage). RNAcentral describes it as "long non-coding RNA (SMIL_LNC000641)". Lineage: Eukaryota; Viridiplantae; Streptophyta; Magnoliopsida; Lamiales; Lamiaceae. The record is from RNAcentral.
AAAUCCUAAACGCUGCUCCUGCCCCUGCUCACGAGUCACGCACGCGAACUCAUCUCUCUCUCUUGCCGCCGCCGCCCGCAGCAUACCAGCAGCUGUCGUCGUCGUCCGCAACACUAGAGCAGAGCGCCCUCCAGCCGCACCAGUAGCUGCCACACCUCCAGCUGUUGCCGGCUGCGAGUAGUCGUCACCGCACGACAAGCUCUCUCUCCCUCUCUAUCUCUGUGCGUAUUGGUGUGUAAGACAAAUGCAAUUUCAAUUUGUAUAGGUCCUCAACUUUGACAUCCGACUGAUUUCAUUUGUUUUGCUUAUGAUGGUAUUUCAUGGAAUAAGUUCUCAACUUUGGUGUUUCUUUAAUUUUUAACAGCAUAAUCAGAUUUACUUAUGUAGGAUACUUGUUUUAUUCAUGUAGCUUGAAUUGAAGAGCUUAGGAUGGUUUUUUAAGUGAAUGGUUUAACUGAAUUGCAGUAGAUUUGUUUUUUUUUUAAAUGGUAUUCGGAUACCCAAAUAACCGGCUCGGUUAACAGAGUCGGUUAUUGGAUAACCGAACGCUCAUUUCGGUUCGGGAACGGUUAGUGAUUUGGGCCAUUUUCGGUUUCGGUAACCGAUCGACGCCCCUAGUCGUGAUGGCACAUAAGGGAUUUUUGCUACGAAAAAGUUAAGCUUAGUCAAAUUUAGUAAAUCAUGGUUGAUUUAAGGCUUAGUUACACAUUAAGGCAUGGGUGGGUAAUCAUUCGGUUCUGAUCAAAUUCACAAAUUGACCAACUUCGGUUCUGAUCAAGUCACAAAUCGACCAAAUUGCAAAGAAUUUUCAAAUUCUUGAGUAAAUCUUUUUUUCUACCAAGUCUUUCUUGAAGUAUGGCGCUCUUAGAGCCGCAAUGCAAUUGAUGAAAUACUGUCUUUAUUGAGCAGGUACUUUGUAUUUAAUCAACCAUCAAACCAGUGGUAGAUUGCUGGCAUUGUCGUUUAAAAUCCUAAUGCGUUUGAUAGCAUCUACACCGUAAGUUUAAGCUACAGAACUGAAAAUUAUUUUAAUUAUUUCCAUCUGCUUGUGACUAGUUUUUAGCUUUUAUCUUAACUAGUAUUGUACCAGUGCGGUAUGUACAUUUAUCAAUUUAUAAGACAAAAUAUUUUGAUUAAUCAACAUACAUAAAUGUAAUGGGAUGUCAAUGUAGCUAGAAAUUUGUAGAUUGAGCAGAACAAAUCGAGUAAUAAACAAUUGAAAUUUUAUUGGACAAUGCUAAUGAAAAACCCUAUGAAGCACCAGUACGUUUCUGAGGGUAGCGUCCGAGUAUUAAAACGAAAAAAAUACGAAUACGUGUAAAUACGUCUGAAAUACGUAUUUAAUACGUCUUUUUCGUUUUUUCGUAUUUUUGUUUUUAGGGUUUGAGAAAUACGUUUUUAAUACGCCUGUUGACUAAAAAAUACGUUUGACCCAAUUUAAAAAGAAAAAACAGAAGACCAAGCCUACUACGCGAAUUAGUUCUCUGAAUUUCUCAUCUCCUAAACCCUACAUAUAUGCAAGCGGCGCAAAUCCCAGCCCGUUCUCCGCCGUCGCGACUGCUGCCGCAGCUGUUCUGGAGCAGUUCAUGAAGCGGCGCAAAUCCCAGCCCGUUCUCCGCCGUCGCGACUGCCGCCGCCGAUGUUCUGGAGCAGUUCAUGAAUUGGAGUGUGAAUUGGGUAUAUAUUGGGGGUGCGUAUCGUGGUAGGCGGUGGGUAUAUUGGGGUGGGUUUAAUUAUGUUAUUUAUUUACUUGGGUGGCCGAUUGGUGUAGGUAAGGGGUGGGUUUAAUUUUGCUAUUUAUUUAUUUACUUCUAAGUUUUAAGAAUUAUGUAGUUAUUUGUUAUAUUUGGUUAUGAAUUAGUUUCUAUGAUAUAUAUAUUAAUAUUAUUUAUAAAAUUAUUAUAAAAAUUAAAACGUAUUUUUAACGUAUUCGUAUUGUGAUUUUUGGGAUAUUGACGUAUUUUCGUUCUCGUCUCGUAUCGUAUUCAUAUUUGGUAUUCGUACCGGUGCUUCCUAGGAAAAACCUAUUAGACAAUUGUGAGUACCUUUUGGAGGGAUAAUGGCAUUGUUUUAAAUUUUGCCAACAUUUGGCUUUUAUAUAUGUAAUGGAUAAUAUAUAAACCAAAAUUUUGAAAGAGAACUUGUUACUUUUUUUUUUGUGUGUGUUCUUGGUUUUCUGGAUAGAAGACAUGGAGAUCCUACGUCGCUAGAUGGAGAGUUGACAGAAGUAGAACCUUUUAUCGGAUAUAUUGGCAUUAGUAUCUAAUGCUGAUUCAUAAAUGCUUUUUCUGUUCAAACGGGUAUGGGUCUAACAGUUCUUCAAUGUUCAAUCUUUAGAUAUUCAAGAAUGCCACCUGAGCUGCUCUGUAGGGUUAUCUCUUCACUCCAAUCAACAAUUGAAGAGGGGUUUCCAUAUCAUAAUGAUCGGAAUAUCUUGCUGGUAACUAUCAAGUUUUCAUCCAUAUUCAUCAAUGAUAUGUCUCCAUUUUCUAGCUUCUUUUGUUU